CUCGUAGGUGGCCAACUAAGUCAGACGUGAAAUCCCUCGGCUUAACCGGGGAACUGCGUCUGAUACUGGAUGGCUUGAGAUUGGGAGAGGGACGCGGAAUUCCAGGUGUAGCGGUGAAAUGCGUAGAUAUCUGGAGGAACACCGGUGGCGAAGGCGGCGUCCUGGACCAACACUGACACUGAUGAGCGAAAGCCAGGGGAGCAAACG
RNAcentral lists this ribosomal RNA (207 nucleotides) under uncultured bacterium. RNAcentral describes it as "partial 16S ribosomal RNA". It matches the Rfam family "Bacterial small subunit ribosomal RNA", at positions 568 to 774 of the family's 1533-position model. The record is from RNAcentral.